This 65-nucleotide transfer RNA is filed under the name Dipodomys ordii (Ord's kangaroo rat). It matches the Rfam family "tRNA". Rfam says of the family: Transfer RNA (tRNA) molecules are approximately 80 nucleotides in length. Their secondary structure includes four short double-helical elements and three loops (D, anti-codon, and T loops). The record is from Rfam by way of RNAcentral. Lineage: Eukaryota; Metazoa; Chordata; Mammalia; Rodentia; Heteromyidae.
GGUGGCUCAGUGGUAGAGUGCUUGCUUAGCAUGCAUGAGGUCCUGAGUUUGAUUCCUCAGCACCA